Candoia aspera is the source of this 1307-nucleotide long non-coding RNA. RefSeq lists it as uncharacterized. Lineage: Eukaryota; Metazoa; Chordata; Lepidosauria; Squamata; Candoiidae. The record is from RefSeq and is a predicted model, not a curated record. The transcript has 3 exons.
AAGCCCGCCCUUGGUUGCGCUCAUUGGCUGCUCGGCUCUGCGCUUGGCAAGCUCGAGUCAUCCUCUGGGGUGUCAAUCACAAGAGCUCCAAGGGUGGGAUUCCAGACGCCCGCCGUCUGCUCUCUUCCUGCGGCGGCGAGGCCCCGGCCGCCCUCCUCUGCCUCGCGUGCCUGGUCUCCCUGGCGGGGCUUGAGGUGGCGGCUUCGCUUGUGGCAGGCAGCCGCCGUGGGAAGGGAAGCCCAAGGCUACCCCGCCGCCCCCAGCCAGUAUCCCACCAGUUUGGGUUUCCCAGUCUGAUGUUCUCCAGGUACAAUAUAUUGGGACUAUAACUUUCAGAAUUUAGACAUCCUGCUGCUACCCAUGAAGAUAAUCACUUGACCAGGGAGAGACUCUGGUUCUAGGUUGAAAAGUUGCAGAGAUGGCCAGAUAAAAAUGAAGAUACAGGAAGAAAUGGUGCUGCUUCUUACUUGCAGGUGUGCAGUUCACAAUGGGUCAGAUCUGGGAGAAUCCUCCAGCAGAUAGAAGGUCACAGGCUUUUUUAUCCUGCAAAGGUUUUCCUCUGACCUCUGCCCAGGAGAGAAAAUGAAUGUUGUCUAUUCUGCCUCUAAUCUCCUGAUCAGAGUUCUGGAGAACUGCAGAAGAAAGGGGCCUGAGACUCUAGGGAAAGGGGAAGAUUCAGUAUCAUCUCACCUCUUUUGACAUAACUGUUCUCAAUGGAAGUACAUUCAGAGGGGCUUAUAUUGGCAAAAUAUGAAUUCUCAAUCCAUCCCCGUAUCUUUAACGUACUGUGUUUGUUUACUCAACCAUGAAAUCACCUUUUCUCCCUGCCCCUCCCUCCCUCCCUCCCUCCCUCCCUUGCCAUUCUAGUCCCACCUUUUUAUUGUACUGGACAAUAAUUCUGGAUUCAGUGGCUUCUUGUAAUUUCUAAAAACUAACCAGUAUGCUAUCCCAGACAUUGGUGAACUACAGCUCCCAGCACCUCUAGCCAACAUGAUCUUUGUGAUGGAUGCUGGAUGCAGCAACUUUGAGGCCUACAAGCUCCCAAUUUAAGCCCUUCCAAAUAUAGGCAGCAGUUAUGUCUCAGUCAUCAAAGCAGUUUGUUGCAUAUGUGAACUGAGUUUUCAUGAAGAACUGCAAGAUAUUUUCACCUGAUUUGUAAUGUUGUAGCACUGUUUUUUGUUAUAGUAAUGAGUGGAUUCCUUCCUCCUUUCCAUGCUAUUUUAAACCCUCAAAAAAGCGGUUCAGCAGAUGAGGAUAGGCAACCUGCAGCAGUCAUGUCAAAAAGCAAUAAAAUUCUAUAAACAGCA